This 151-nucleotide unclassified non-coding RNA is filed under the name uncultured Ascomycota. RNAcentral's name for it is "sequence contains ITS2". The record is from RNAcentral. Lineage: Eukaryota; Fungi; Ascomycota.
CGACCCUCAAGCAUUGCUUGGUGUUGGGCCGGGUCCUUAGGGGGACCCACCCGUAACUUGUAGGCGGCCACCGGUGACGCCCUAAGCGUAGCAGGCUAACGCACUCGCUUGGAGGCGGCCCGCGUGGCCCCGCCCAAAAACUUAUCCAAAG